Molecule: ribosomal RNA, 991 nt
Filed under: marine metagenome
Description: bacterial LSU rRNA
Rfam family: Bacterial large subunit ribosomal RNA
Source: RNAcentral
GGUAAACGGCGGCCGUAACUAUAACGGUCCUAAGGUAGCGAAAUUCCUUGUCGGGUAAGUUCCGACCUGCACGAAUGGCGUAACGACUUCCCCGCUGUCUCCAACAUAGACUCAGCGAAAUUGAAUUGCCUGUCAAGAUGCAGGCUUCCCGCGGUUAGACGGAAAGACCCCGUGCACCUUUACUACAGCUUCGCACUGGCAUCAGGCACAACAUGUGCAGGAUAGGUGGUGGGCUUUGAAGCAGAAACGCCAGUUUCUGUGGAGCCUCCCUUGAGAUACCACCCUUGUUCUGCUUGAUGUCUAACCGCGGUCCGUUAUCCGGAUCCGGGACCCUGCGUGGCGGGUAGUUUGACUGGGGCGGUCGCCUCCUAAAGAGUAACGGAGGCGCGCGAAGGUUGGCUCAGAGCGGUCGGAAAUCGCUCGUUGAGUGCAAUGGCAGAAGCCAGCCUGACUGCGAGACUGACAAGUCGAGCAGAGACGAAAGUCGGCCAUAGUGAUCCGGUGGUCCCGAGUGGAAGGGCCAUCGCUCAACGGAUAAAAGGUACGCCGGGGAUAACAGGCUGAUACUGCCCAAGAGUCCAUAUCGACGGCAGUGUUUGGCACCUCGAUGUCGGCUCAUCUCAUCCUGGGGCUGGAGCAGGUCCCAAGGGUAUGGCUGUUCGCCAUUUAAAGAGGUACGUGAGCUGGGUUUAGAACGUCGUGAGACAGUUCGGUCCCUAUCUGCCGUGGGUGUAGGAUACUUGAGAGGAGUUGCCCCUAGUACGAGAGGACCGGGGUGAACGAUCCACUGGUGGACCUGUUGUUGCGCCAGCAGCAGUGCAGGGUAGCUAUGAUCGGACAGGAUAACCGCUGAAGGCAUCUAAGCGGGAAGCCCCCCUCAAAACAAGGUAUCCCUGAGGGCCGUGGAAGACCACCACGUCGAUAGGCCGGAGAUGUAAGCAUGGUAACAUGUUCAGUUGACCGGUACUAAUGGCCCGAUAGGCUUGAUUUG